RNAcentral lists this ribosomal RNA (462 nucleotides) under uncultured bacterium. Its description in RNAcentral is "partial 16S ribosomal RNA". It matches the Rfam family "Bacterial small subunit ribosomal RNA", at positions 28 to 507 of the family's 1533-position model. The record is from RNAcentral.
GACGAACGCUGGCGGCGUGCUUAACACAUGCAAGUCGAGCGGUAAGGCCUUUCGGGGUACACGAGCGGCGAACGGGUGAGUAACACGUGGGUGAUCUGCCCUGCACUUCGGGAUAAGCCUGGGAAACUGGGUCUAAUACCGGAUAUGACCUCCUAUCGCAUGGUGGGUGGUGGAAAGAUUUAUCGGUGCAGGAUGGGCCCGCGGCCUAUCGGCUUGUUGGUGGGGUAAUGGCCUACCAAGGCGACGACGGGUAGCCGACCUGAGAGGGUGACCGGCCACACUGGGACUGAGACACGGCCCAGACUCCUACGGGAGGCAGCAGUGGGGAAUAUUGCACAAUGGGCUGAAGCCUGAUGCAGCGACGCCGCGUGAGGGAUGACGGCCUUCGGGUUGUAAACCUCUUUCAGCAGGGACGAAGCGCAAGUGACGGUACCUGCAGAAGAAGCACCGGCUAACUACGUG